GCUAUUAUGGUCCAAGCACUUCAACCCCAAGUAAAAGACAGUGGAAGAAGCACCACCUGACUGCACCAUCACUUUCCAGUAUUGGACAUGCAUCGUCUGAAACGUUUUCAAAUCGAGAAGACCUGCCACCUACAGAGGAAGCAUUGGAAGAUGAGGAGUGCACCAUGGAUGCCUCAGAAGUUCUAGAGGAGAGGUAUAUAAAUACUCUCAAGCUUUCGAAUUUGUCUAAAUAUAAGAAAUUAUGUUGAACAUGUACAUUGUGAUUGACUGUUUUCUUUUAGUCUACAGAACAUGAGCAUCCAGGAUGCUGAAACCCCGCUCAUGAAUGAACAGGAGAUAAAUGACCUAAUGAAUAAUGUUCAAUUCCCAUGCUUUUUGUGUCUGUCCAUUAUAUUUCUGUAUUAUUUUGUAGGAGCUGUGGUUUGGGCUCCUACACCAUGUCACAAAUGAACACAGGUGGGUACUGGGAGGCUGCCAGCAUGCAGACUUGCAAUCAGGGGGAACUCAAGAGUGGCUUGAGCGAGGCUCCAUGGCACACGAGGCCCUGAAGAGUAUUGUGCGAAACAAGCGAUGGCUCAACGAAGUUCACAAAUACCUGAACUUCAGGUCCACUGCUGAUCUGGAGUCCUUCCAAAAUCAUAUUUUAAUGUAUGCCAGCAAGCGCUCAGCAUUUAGCCCUCCUGUCUUUGAGGCCAGGAUGCUCCUCGCAGCGAUCGAUUAUAACUACCACAAGGACCGCCCAGAGUUGUGCAAGUCUGAUGGAAGCAAGCAGUAAGUGACAUGCUCAUUUCUACAUGUUGGAUGUUGGUAACCAUUUUACCUGAUUACACCAUUGAAACUCUAUAUAAAACACUGUACUGUAAACAGUGUUUCCCCUAGAAUUUUUUUCAGGCCCGGUGGUACCCACAGAAAAAACCCUAAACAGACGAGGCGCGUGGGACGGCAUAUUGGACAUGUGACAUGCAGCAAUAUAACCAAGUUUUACAUUAAAAAUCAUUGUAGGCCUAUAUUGCAGAAUUAUAUCACUUCAAUUAAAUCAUUAGGCUUAAUCUAACCUUUAACCAAAGUGUCAUGGGCCUGAAAGGCUGCAGUGUGCUGGUCUGACCCAUAUGAGCAUUGAGCACAUCUUUUCUAUACAUUUCAGAGGGAUCUCUAUGAAAACCCUCUGGGAUGGUCCUCUUUUAACGGGCUGCUUGUGCUGACGGGAUAUGUGACAAAACAUCCCUAUUCACAAUUGAGAUUAUAUCAGUUAUAAAUAAUUUAAACAUUGUAGAAGAUUUUUUUUCCCGUUUUGUUACAACAGAGUUACAUGCAUUUGACAAUG
Long non-coding RNA from Cololabis saira (Pacific saury), 1324 nucleotides. RefSeq lists it as uncharacterized. The transcript is spliced from 3 exons. Lineage: Eukaryota; Metazoa; Chordata; Actinopteri; Beloniformes; Belonidae. The record is from RefSeq and is a predicted model, not a curated record.